This 497-nucleotide ribosomal RNA is filed under the name uncultured bacterium. RNAcentral describes it as "partial 16S ribosomal RNA". It matches the Rfam family "Bacterial small subunit ribosomal RNA", at positions 28 to 507 of the family's 1533-position model. The record is from RNAcentral.
GAUGAACGCUGGCGGCGUGCCUAAUACAUGCAAGUCGAGCGAACGGACGAGAAGCUUGCUUCUCUGAUGUUAGCGGCGGGCGGGUGAGUAACACGUGGAUAACCUACCUAUAAGACUGGGAUAACUUCGGGAAACCGGAGCUAAUACCGGAUAAUAUUUUGAACCGCAUGGUUCAAAAGUGAAAGACAGUCUUGCUGUCACUUAUAGAUGGAUCCGCGCUGCAUUAGCUAGUUGGUAAGGUAACGGCUUACCAAGGCAACGAUGCAUAGCCGACCUGAGAGGGUGAUCGGCCACACUGGAACUGAGACACGGUCCAGACUCCUACGGGAGGCAGCAGUAGGGAAUCUUCCGCAAUGGGCGAAAGCCUGACGGAGCAACGCCGCGUGAGUGAUGAAGGUCUUCGGAUCGUAAAACUCUGUUAUUAGGGAAGAACAUAUGUGUAAGUAACUGUGCACAUCUUGACGGUACCUAAUCAGAAAGCCACGGCUAACUACGUG